Non-coding RNA from Nicotiana attenuata, 148 nucleotides. NCBI's taxonomy places the organism in Eukaryota, Viridiplantae, Streptophyta, Magnoliopsida, Solanales, Solanaceae. The record is from Rfam.
UUGGUUUCCCGGCCUUUUGGUUAAGAUCAAGUCUAGUAUCCGUUCUUUUAGAACUGUAAUUAUUAAGUACUAAUACAUUGUCAUGAUUUGAAAUUCCCACCGUCCAAAUUAUGACGACGCCUAGCAUUUCACUUUCUAGGCAAGCCAA